RNAcentral lists this ribosomal RNA (1954 nucleotides) under human gut metagenome. RNAcentral describes it as "bacterial LSU rRNA". It matches the Rfam family "Bacterial large subunit ribosomal RNA", at positions 3 to 1996 of the family's 2925-position model. The record is from RNAcentral.
UUAAGCUACAAAGAGCGUAGGGAGAAUGCCUAGGUACCAAGAGCCGAAGAAGGACGUGAUAAGCUGCGAAAAGCCACGGGGAGGAGCAAAUAUCCAUCGAGCCGUGGGUGUCCGAAUGAGGGAACUCAUACAGUAAAAAAAGACUGUAUAUCCAUACAUGAGUAAAGUAGUGUAUAGGAAGGGAACGUGGGGAACUGAAACAUCUUAGUACCCAUAGGAAAAGAAAGUAAUAACGAUUCCUGAAGUAGUGGCGAGCGAAACAGGAAGAGCCCAAACCAUAGAUAGUAAUAUUUGUGGGGUUCGGAUUAUCAAUAAAGCCAAGAAUGAUGUUAGUAGAAUUACCAGGGAAGGUAAACCAAAGAAGGUGAAAGUCCUGUAUAUGAAAACAGAGUGAAGGCGAGAUAAAUCCAGAGUAGUGCGAGACACGAGAAAUCUCGUAUGAAAGAGCGGAGACCAUUCCGUAAGGCUAAAUACUACUUGGUAACCGAUAGAGAACAAGUACCGUGAGGGAACGGUGAAAAGGACCCCGGGAGGGGAGUGAAAGAGAACCUGAAACCCUAUGUUUACAAGCAGAUAGAGCGAUUUAAGGCGCGAUAUCGUACUUUUUGUAGAACGGUCCAGCGAGUUAUUGUAUAUGGCGAGGUUAAGUUCUGAAUAAGGAAUGGAGCCGAAGAGAAAUCGAGUCUGAAUAGGGCGAUAUAAGUCAUAUAUAAUAGACCCGAAACCGGGUGACCUAUCCAUGGUCAGGAUGAAGCUGAAGUAAAAUUCAGUGGAGGUCCGAACUGAUUGUCGUUAAAAAGGCACCGGAUGAACUGUGGAUAGCGGAGAAAUUCCAAUCGAACUCGGAGAUAGCUGGUUCUCCUCGAAAUAGCUUUAGGGCUAGCCUUGAGGUAAAAGAAUUAUGGGGGUAGAGCACUGAAUGAGGUAGGGGCCAAACCAGGUUACUGAACUCUAUCAAACUGCGAAUACCAUAAUUAGAAUACUCAGGAGUCAGACUGCGGGAGCUAAGUUCCGUGGUCAAAAGGGAAAGAGCCCAGACCGACAAUUAAGGUCCCAAAGAUAUAGUUAAGUGGAAAACGAUGUGAAUUUGCAUAAACAACCAGGAUGUUGGCUCAGAAGCAGCCACUCAUUCAAAGAGUGCGUAACAGCUCACUGGUCGAGUGAAUUUGCGCGGAAAAUUACCGGGGCUAAACUAUACACCGAAAUUUCGGAUUUACGUAUGAAAAUAUGUAAGUGGUAGAGGAGCAUUCUGUAGUAGGACGAAGUCAAAGCGAAAGCAUUGGUGGACGAGGCAGAAGAGAGAAUGCUGGAAUAAGUAGCGAGAGCAAGGUGAGAAUCCUUGCCGUCGAAAGUCUAAGGUUUCCUGGGGAAGGUUCGUCCGCCCAGGGUAAGUCGGGGCCUAAGGAGAGGCCGAAAGGCGUAUCUGAUGGAUAGCAGGUGGAGAUUCCUGCACUAUAGCUAGUUUUAAAAGAUGCAAGGGACGCAGUAGAGGAAGAUAACCAAGGAAGAGGAAAGACUUGGUCCGCAAGGGAUAGUGAAAAUUAAUAGUAACGAAAUAUCAAGAAUCACACUGACGAGAAAAGCUUGUAGAUAUUAACUAGAAAUACCCGUACCGCAAACCGACACAGGUAGAUGAGGAGAGGAUCCUAAGACGAGCGGGAGAAGCAUUGUUAAGGAACUCGGCAAAAUAACCCCGUAACUUCGGGAGAAGGGGAACCUAAGUAAAAUUAGGUCGCAGAGAAAAGGCCCAAGCAACUGUUUAACAAAAACACAGGUUUCUGCAAAAUCGAAAGAUGAAGUAUAGGAGCUGACGCCUGCCCAGUGCUGGAAGGUUAAGGGAAAGAGUUAGAUGUAAGUCGAAGCUUAGAACUAAAGCCCCAGUGAACGGCGGCCGUAACUAUAACGGUCCUAAGGUAGCGAAAUUCCUUGUCAGGUAAGUUCUGACCCGCACGAA